Molecule: long non-coding RNA, 204 nt
Organism: Dipodomys spectabilis (banner-tailed kangaroo rat)
Lineage: Eukaryota; Metazoa; Chordata; Mammalia; Rodentia; Heteromyidae
Exons: 3
Source: RefSeq, a predicted model, not a curated record
UUUCUGAAAAUACCUAGGUUGGACCUAUUAGAAAUACACUCCUCAUUUUACAAAUGUGGAUGUACUGGUUAAAUUACUAUGCAUUGCUGAAGUUUAAAAUCUUAUAUAUUCCAGUAUGCUUUCCAUGAUAUUUCAAUCUAUUGGUAAUAAGGUAUGUAUGCAUUUAUUUCAGUGUCUUGAAGUAUUCUGAAUGCAUUAUGUUUG